AGUCUUUAGUUCGUUCGAAACGUUACGUCAUGUGUUCCUGACGUUCCGCAAAAUAAUUUCAUAUUAAUAAUGAUAAAAUAAAUUAAUCUUUAUCUAAAUUAUGAUCCACCAGAAACCAGAUCUUAUAAAGUGCAAACAAUAGAUAAAAGUCAUCCCGAAGGUUAGUCGAGGCCACAAAAUAAAUCCGCAGUUUGGGUCACGAACU
RNAcentral lists this unclassified non-coding RNA (205 nucleotides) under Melitaea cinxia (Glanville fritillary). Its description in RNAcentral is "misc RNA ENSMCXG00005007392.1". Lineage: Eukaryota; Metazoa; Arthropoda; Insecta; Lepidoptera; Nymphalidae. The record is from RNAcentral.